Molecule: ribosomal RNA, 465 nt
Filed under: uncultured bacterium
Lineage: Bacteria
Description: partial 16S ribosomal RNA
Rfam family: Bacterial small subunit ribosomal RNA
Source: RNAcentral
GACGAACGCUGGCGGCGUGCUUAACACAUGCAAGUCGAACGGAAAGGCCCUGCUUGCAGGGUACUCGAGUGGCGAACGGGUGAGUAACACGUGGGUGAUCUGCCCUGCACUUCGGGAUAAGCCUGGGAAACUGGGUCUAAUACCGGAGAGGAGCCAUUUUUAGUGUGAUGGUUGGAAAGUUUUUUCGGUGUAGGAUGAGCUCGCGGCCUAUCAGCUUGUUGGUGGGGUAAUGGCCUACCAAGGCGGCGACGGGUAGCCGGCCUGGGGGGGUGGACGGCCACAUUGGGACCGGGGUACGGCCCAGACCCCCAAGGGGGGGAGGAGUGGGGAAUAUUGCACAAUGGGCGCAAGCCUGAUGCAGCGACGCCGCGGGGGGGAUGACGGGCUUCGGGUUGUAAACUCCUUUCGCCAGGGACGAAGCGUUUUGUGACGGUACCUAGAGAAGAAGCACCGGCUAACUACGUG